RNAcentral lists this ribosomal RNA (1372 nucleotides) under uncultured bacterium. RNAcentral describes it as "bacterial SSU rRNA". It matches the Rfam family "Bacterial small subunit ribosomal RNA", at positions 28 to 1381 of the family's 1533-position model. The record is from RNAcentral.
GAUGAACGCUGGCGGCGUGCCUAAUACAUGCAAGUCGAGCGAACGGACGAGAAGCUUGCUUCUCUGAUGUUAGCGGCGGACGGGUGAGUAACACGUGGAUAACCUACCUAUAAGACUGGGAUAACUUCGGGAAACCGGAGCUAAUACCGGAUAAUAUUUUGAACCGCAUGGUUCAAAAGUGAAAGACGGUCUUGCUGUCACUUAUAGAUGGAUCCGCGCUGCAUUAGCUAGUUGGUAAGGUAACGGCUUACCAAGGCAACGAUGCAUAGCCGACCUGAGAGGGUGAUCGGCCACACUGGAACUGAGACACGGUCCAGACUCCUACGGGAGGCAGCAGUAGGGAAUCUCCCGCAAUGGGCGAAAGCCUGACGGAGCAACGCCGCGUGAGUGAUGAAGGUCUUCGGAUCGUAAAACUCUGUUAUUAGGGAAGAACAUAUGUGUAAGUAACUGUGCACAUCUUGACGGUACCUAAUCAGAAAGCCACGGCUAACUACGUGCCAGCAGCCGCGGUAAUACGUAGGUGGCAAGCGUUAUCCGGAAUUAUUGGGCGUAAAGCGCGCGUAGGCGGUUUUUUAAGUCUGAUGUGAAAGCCCACGGCUCAACCGUGGAGGGUCAUUGGAAACUGGAAAACUUGAGUGCAGAAGAGGAAAGUGGAAUUCCAUGUGUAGCGGUGAAAUGCGCAGAGAUAUGGAGGAACACCAGUGGCGAAGGCGACUUUCUGGUCUGUAACUGACGCUGAUGUGCGAAAGCGUGGGGAUCAAACAGGAUUAGAUACCCUGGUAGUCCACGCCGUAAACGAUGAGUGCUAAGUGUUAGGGGGUUUCCGCCCCUUAGUGCUGCAGCUAACGCAUUAAGCACUCCGCCUGGGGAGUACGACCGCAAGGUUGAAACUCAAAGGAAUUGACGGGGACCCGCACAAGCGGUGGAGCAUGUGGUUUAAUUCGAAGCAACGCGAAGAACCUUACCAAAUCUUGACAUCCUUUGACAACUCUAGAGAUAGAGCCUUCCCCUUCGGGGGACAAAGUGACAGGUGGUGCAUGGUUGUCGUCAGCUCGUGUCGUGAGAUGUUGGGUUAAGUCCCGCAACGAGCGCAACCCUUAAGCUUAGUUGCCAUCAUUAAGUUGGGCACUCUAAGUUGACUGCCGGUGACAAACCGGAGGAAGGUGGGGAUGACGUCAAAUCAUCAUGCCCCUUAUGAUUUGGGCUACACACGUGCUACAAUGGACAAUACAAAGGGCAGCGAAACCGCGAGGUCAAGCAAAUCCCAUAAAGUUGUUCUCAGUUCGGAUUGUAGUCUGCAACUCGACUACAUGAAGCUGGAAUCGCUAGUAAUCGUAGAUCAGCAUGCUACGGUGAAUACGUUCCCGGGUCU